This 1817-nucleotide long non-coding RNA is filed under the name Mytilus galloprovincialis (Mediterranean mussel). The record is from RNAcentral. Lineage: Eukaryota; Metazoa; Mollusca; Bivalvia; Mytilida; Mytilidae.
CAGGACUCCUUAUUUUAUAUAAGACGAGGAGUGGUUUAUUUUUCUAUGGUUGUUAUAUCAUCUCGUCUUAGACGUGUUAGAAUAUGCUUGAAGUACAAGGACUUUUAUGGAAUUCAUUGACAUUAUAGUCAAGCAAGAUGUCAACAUCCCGUCCAACUGUCUUCCAGCAAAGCCAAAGCUGACCAAGGAUCUUCACCAUUUCAUGACAGGCUGUAUACAGGAUGAGUUAUUCCACUAGGAACAGGUACAACUCUUAACAGUCAAUGUUCAUUAGUUCCUUAUAUAGUCAAUCUGAAAUUAGGGGACCAAUAUUUUAAUACAUUAGCCAGAUUAAAAAGGGGGAGGGGUUGAAAGGGCAUGUGAAUAUUCAUUUACACCUGACCUGUUUCUAGGACAUCUUAUCUAUAAUCUAUUUUCUAUAGCCAAGUGCAAACAUGUUUACUGUAAAUUCAUAAAUUAUUGCAUUGUUUUUAUUAUUGCAAUGUUUUUAUUAUUGCGUAAAAUGAGAAAGGGGGUAUAAUUGCAAUAAUUAAAACUCACAUUUUGAGUUUCUUUUAUAUGAAUCAAACAGGACAUUUCUGAAAAUCGCAAAACUUAAAAUCACAUUUCAGUCUUAAAUUAUAAAAUCGCAAUAAUAACUCCACACAAUAUUUUUUUGAAUUUACAGUAUAUCCCUUAUAUUAAUGUACGUCAUGGCAUGAGUCUUGAGACCAUUUGAUUACAAAAAAGAAAGGGGAAGGGUUAGAAUGGUCAAAAUAUUUAUGUGCAUGUCAGAUAAGGACAGAAUUUAAAUUGUUAACUUAUUAACCAGGGUAUAAUAUACAUAAUUCAUGUAUAUUAUUUUUUUGCUUAAAAAAACAAUUUAUAGACCAUAAGCAUGAUAAGCAUGCUUAUGGUCUAUAUGCCUCGUAUGUCUCGUGAGAUGAAUUGUCGCAUGGGGUCGGACUCAGCUUUCCAGGUUAUCCCAUUACUGGGUUUUGCGCCUGUCCCAAGUCAGGAGCCUCUGGCCUUUGUUAGUCUUGUAUUAUUUUAAUUUUAGUUUCUUGUGUACAAUUUGAAACUAGUAUGGCUUCAUUAUCACUGACUAGUAUAUAUUUGUUUAGGGGCCAGCUGAAGGACGCCUCCGGGUGCGGGAAUUUCUCGCUACAUGAAGACCUGUUGGUGACCCUCUGCUGUUGUUGUUUUUUAUUUGGUCGGGUUGUUGUCUCUUUGACACAUUCCCCAUUUCCAUUCUCAAUUUUAUGAUAAUAAUCAAAAUUUAUUUCAACAUGUUCAACAUUAAAAAGGACAAUAUGUUUUUAUUCCCUUACCCUAAGUUAUAUUUUAAGUUUUUAAUGGAAGUAGUACAUGUUCAUCUCUUUGUUUACUAAAAAAGCUUUUAUCUCAUGGAAAAGCCUCAUACAAAUACAUGUUUUACAUACAACAUACUGUACAUAAAACACUAGACAACUUUAUCCAGAGAAUAAUCUUAUUUAAUGAUCUAUUAUACAAUGUAGGCCAAGGAGACUAAAAAAUCAAGAGCAUUGCAAACUUUUGUAAAGUUAUAUUUUGGGACCUUACAUGUACAUUGAUGUACAUGUAUGUAAUGUAUGCAGAUUAUUUAAAGAGCCCUCAGCCCUUUUCAAAAGAAACAAAAAAUACAUGUACAGUGAUGCUACACUACCCUAUAUUUUCUGUGAUACAAAAUUGAAGAAUUAUUUUAUAGUUUAACAGUUUUCAUUUGUAGGGCUAUAAUAGAUGCAAGCAAUGCUGAUGAUUUUUUUGUGAAUUUGACAAUAGCCAGGUCAAACUAAAUACAUGUAUAGAACAAGAUACUG